UAAAGGUAAAGCUACCCCAUGACAGACAUGAAUAUUUUCAACAAGGCAGCAGUAUGUACCCUUUCCCUCUUGUCCUGUCACCAUGCAUCACUGUGAAGCAAGAACAGUUUCUCCUCCUGUAUCUUUUGGUUGAGAGAAAAGAAUGUCACAUACUGAUAGAAAGAGAAGAAUCUCAGUAGAAAGAAGAGUCUCAGGCUCAGUGAAAGAUGAAAGAAAAAUGCACAUGAAUCAAUUAUGAAAAAGAGAAAGUUUCUUUGAAUGAGGAAAAGCUGAUUGGAAUUAAGAUAGGCUUUGUUCAUAUCUGCAAGUUACAUGGAGAGUACUUUUCAGUGGAACAGAAAAGGGGGAUUUGGGAGUGUUUGGCUGCUUAAUGCUAUAGUGCUUCAGAGCCCAUGUGAAAAUUUGCUGCUAGCUAUUAAUCAUCUUUGUGUCUCUGCAAAGAAGCUGUUACAAUGAUGACUAUAUAUCAUUACAUUCCCACUGUAAGUAACAAAUCAGAGUGCUGGGAAAGUUGGAUAAGAGCGGCUGGCAAACUUUUAAGCUGUGGAAUCUAUUUAAAUAAAUUUACAUCACAUUUUGCAAUUUUCACUGGUAUGGGAAUCAUACUUUAACAUGAAACAAUAUGCUAUGUUCAUGGGUCCUGGUCUUUUAUUCUGUCUCUGAGCCUACUUUCCAGGUCAGCUUUUGCCAGUGCUGACAGCACGCUUUUCUCAUAGCCUCUCCUUCUCAUAGCCUUUAGUUGCUUUCAAGUUCAAUUUAGCACAAUGAAGUUGUUAUGCAUGACAGUUUGGAGAGCAGAAUAGGUGGUGGCUGAGCCUGCUGUGUCACUACAGAGUGGGCUCAUUCUCUGCAAGCCAGCUCAGUUACUGAAGCCUUGCUGGUGGGACACUGCAGUGGACUUCCAGAUGUUCCCAUCCUGACGAAAACAAUUAGCUUCAAACUGCAAGAAGCCAGAGGGUCACCCUUUAUUUCAGUGAGACUGCACCAUUUAAUAUGCUGCAGCAGAUUUCAAAUUCAUGUUGAUUUAUCCUGUUCUACUCUUCUUUUAUGGUCUUUAUUUAUAGAUGUGUAAAGCAACUGGGAAAGUUUGAGUCUCAUAUGGUUCAGGAGUUGUAUUAGAAAUCUAAACCAUUGUUUUAUGUUUAUUUUACAAAGUACUAGACUUGAAACGUGUCAGACUUAAUUCCGUUAGGCUGAGCUGCCUAAAACAGAGCCCUGAGGUUCCUCAAACAGAACCUGUAAGUGUCUCUUCUGCUAACCAUCAGCAACAAGCCAAAAAUAAACAACCCCAAAACGCUCAAGAUGCCAGCACAGAUGUCUGUUACAAGAAUAUUGAAAAGAACUGAAGACCAUUUACAAAUGGAAAAUUAUGCAACUAUUAAAAAUAAGUUCAUUUUGAGCCUACAUUGAGGUGAUGCAAGCUGCCUGUUCUUCGCAAGCACAGCUGGUUGUGUUCAUUGCUAAGAACCUUGUAGACCACUGAAUUCAAUGGUACAAUACAGCUGCUACUUUACAGGAUAAAUAUUAUUUUAUUUUGGCAUUAACUUCACUAUUGACACAAUGAUAGGUUUCUUCUUCUUUACCAGGCUCUGGUAGCACUGCUAUGACAAAACAAGACAAUUGCAUACUACUUGACUUCACACUGCUAAGAGCUAGCACCUGUUUUUUAGAUUCCCGAGUAAAAAAGACUCUGUUGUCUUGAUUAUAUAUAUUGGUAUUUACUGGAUAAACCCAUCAAAUAAUUCUCAUUCUAGAUUAAAACUUACAGGGAAAAGUGUUUAGAAUAAUAAGAUGCUUCUACCCUCUUUGUCUAUUGCUUCCCUUUCCUCUCCCCUCCUAUU
Molecule: long non-coding RNA, 1841 nt
Organism: Cyanistes caeruleus (blue tit)
Lineage: Eukaryota; Metazoa; Chordata; Aves; Passeriformes; Paridae
Source: RefSeq, a predicted model, not a curated record